CCUACGGGGGGCAGCAGUGGGGAAUAUUGGACAAUGGGGGCAACCCUGAUCCAGCCAUGCCGCGUGUGUGAAGAAGGCCCUCGGGUUGUAAAGCACUUUCAGUGAGGAAGAACGCCUGGUGGUUAAUACCCAUCAGGAAAGACAUCACUCACAGAAGAAGCACCGGCUAACUCCGUGCCAGCAGCCGCGGUAAUACGGAGGGGGCGAGCGUUAAUCGGAAUUACUGGGCGUAAAGCGCGCGUAGGUGGCUUGAUAAGCCGGUUGUGAAAGCCCCGGGCUCAACCUGGGAACGGCAUCCGGAACUGUCCAACUAGAGUGCAGGAGAGGAAGGUAGAAUUCCCGGUGUAGCGGUGAAAUGCGUAGAGAUCGGGAGGAAUACCAGUGGCGAAGGCGGCCUUCUGGACUGACACUGACACUGAGGUGCGAAAGCGUGGGUAGCAAACAGGAUUAGAUACCCGAGUAGUC
Molecule: ribosomal RNA, 465 nt
Filed under: Vreelandella stevensii
Lineage: Bacteria; Pseudomonadati; Pseudomonadota; Gammaproteobacteria; Oceanospirillales; Halomonadaceae
Description: partial 16S ribosomal RNA
Rfam family: Bacterial small subunit ribosomal RNA
Source: RNAcentral